Molecule: transfer RNA, 78 nt
Filed under: Sphaerodactylus townsendi
Lineage: Eukaryota; Metazoa; Chordata; Lepidosauria; Squamata; Sphaerodactylidae
Description: tRNA-Val
Rfam family: tRNA (bases 6-66)
About the family: Transfer RNA (tRNA) molecules are approximately 80 nucleotides in length. Their secondary structure includes four short double-helical elements and three loops (D, anti-codon, and T loops). Further hydrogen bonds mediate the characteristic L-shaped molecular structure. tRNAs have two regions of fundamental functional importance: the anti-codon, which is responsible for specific mRNA codon recognition, and the 3' end, to which the tRNAs corresponding amino acid is attached (by aminoacyl-tRNA synthetases). tRNAs cope with the degeneracy of the genetic code in two manners: having more than one tRNA (with a specific anti-codon) for a particular amino acid; and 'wobble' base-pairing, i.e. permitting non-standard base-pairing at the 3rd anti-codon position.
Source: RNAcentral
UUGUCUGUGGCUCAAUGAUCAAGCAUCUGCUCGACAUGCAGAAAGUUCCAGGUUCAACCCCUGGCAUCUCCAGAUAAA